AACGCGAAGAACCUUACCCGGGCUUGAACUACGGAUGGUAAGUCCCUAGAAACAGGGGCUGACCCGCAAGGGAGUCCGCAGAGGUGCUGCAUGGUUGUCGUCAGCUCGUGUCGUGAGAUGUUGGGUUAAGUCCCGCAACGAGCGCAACCCCUACUCGAUGUUGCUAAUCCCGCAAGGGAUGCACUCUUCGAGAACUGCCUUCGAUAAGAAGGAGGAAGGUGGGGACGACGUCAAAUCCUCAUGGCCCUUAUGUCCGGGGCUACACACGUGUUACAAUGGCCGGUACAAUGGGAAGCAAUGCCGCAAGGUGGAGCCAAACCCACAAAGCCGGCCCCAGUUCAGAUCGUGGGCUGCAACUCGCCCACGUGAAGGCGGAAUCGCUAGUAAUCGCUGAUCAGCAGGCAGCGGUGAAUACGUUCCCGGGCCUUGUACACACCGUAGUAC
This 444-nucleotide ribosomal RNA is filed under the name uncultured bacterium. RNAcentral's name for it is "bacterial SSU rRNA". It matches the Rfam family "Bacterial small subunit ribosomal RNA", at positions 958 to 1398 of the family's 1533-position model. The record is from RNAcentral.